Long non-coding RNA from Oncorhynchus keta (chum salmon), 722 nucleotides. RefSeq lists it as uncharacterized. The transcript is spliced from 2 exons. The record is from RefSeq and is a predicted model, not a curated record. Lineage: Eukaryota; Metazoa; Chordata; Actinopteri; Salmoniformes; Salmonidae.
CAUGUUUUACUGUUGCCAGUUCAGGUGAGCUCUAAGAUCCUAGCCGUCCAAGUAGUGGUCUGUUAUCUGUUAAUGGACUUUCAUCUUUAUGAGUUACUCAUUCUCACCAGCCAAGCAGCAACUUAAAGCCACACUAAGAUGGUGAUGAAUGCCAGAGUGGGUCACAGACAACAAAAGAUUCACCUCGAUUCUGCCAGUGCCUUGGGACUAUCAAGAAUGAUGCGGUGACCAAACAUUAUCAGAAGGAUUUUCAGGCUGAACUGAUGGGGAAUACAUUUCGACGACAGCUGAGAAGUGAUGCGAUACCAGCAAUGUUUUUUCUUCACCAGAAAACAGAACAUUCUCAAUUAACGUUAACUAGCUAACGUUACAGUCCUGCAAAUCAUAUAGCUAUCUUUUGGUAUACACACUGGCGUACAGCAGGUCAGCCAUCACGAUGCGAUGGCGCCAUCUGCUGGACCUGCCAGGUCUCGACAGGCUCUCCGGACAGGACUAAUUGGGGCUGAUUGCUCACCAGCUGUAGCAAUCCCAUGUAGCUGCCAGAAGGGCAGCACACAGGGGAGAGAGUAGGGGAAGACAGGACUCCCGUAUAGUUGGGGACAGAGGUAACAGGAGUGAGUUCAGUUUGAUCCCCACAGGAUACAGCAAGACCAAGAAGACAGUAUCCCAGAUAGGGUCUCAUGGGGGAGACCUAUUAUUUGAAUAAACACCUUUGAAACUGA